UUUAGAAGGCUGAUUUAUUAUUUUAUGAUACAUAUAUCAUAUUAAAACUAUACUAAAAGAAUAGAAGAAAGGAUUUCAUCAGAAGGCUAGCUAAGAAUAGAAAAAGAAGGAAUGAAUAACAAAGGCUUGUGACUGACCGAGACAGUCUGGACAGCUGGACUGUGAUUGGCCAUUAAUUAGAAACAACCAACAUGAGACCAAUCACAGAUGCACCUGUUGCAUUCCACAGCAGCAGAUAAUCAUUGUUUACAUUUUGUUCCUGAGGCCUCCCAGCUUCUCAGGAGAAAAAAUCCUAAAGAAAGGAUUUUCCAUAAAACAUGUCUGUGACACAGGCUGUGCUCAGGAGCCACUGGCAGCCACUCCUCUGUCCCCACUAUGGCCUUGGGGACAUGAAUAAAACAUCUUCCAAGGUGCCCUGGCAGAGCCCUUUCUCCAGGGUCACAGGAUCACUUAGGUUGGAAAACACCUCUGAGGUCAUCAAGUCCAACCUUUGAGUGAUCUCCACCAUGUCAACUAGACCGUGGCACUGAGUGACACAUCCCACUCUCCGGGGACAGUGACCACCAUGCCCUUGGCAGCCAUUCCAAUGUGUCAUCCCCUGUUCUGUGAAGAGCUUCUUCCUAAUGUCCACCCUGAACCUCCCCUCCUGCAGCUCCAGGCCAUUUUCUCCUGUCCUGUUGCUGUUUGCCUGGCAGAAGAGGCUGAUUCCCCCCUGGCUACAACCUGCCAGGGAGCUGUAGAGAGUGACAAGAUCAUCCCUGAGCCUUCUGUUCUCCAGGCUAAACACCCCCAGCUCCCUCAGCCGCUCCUCCUGCUCCCGACCCUUCACCACAUCCCUCACCCUUCUCUGGACACACUCCAUCACCCGACUGUCCUCCCUGAACCGAGGUGACCAGAACUGGACACACUCUCUGGAGGCCCUGUGGGUAAAACCUGGGUGUUUCCCCUGGGUUUCCCUCGGUGAUCCGGCCGGACAUUGCCAGACAUCCCCGGACAUCGCCGGACAUUUGCAGAUACUGUCGGGACAUCCCCGGACACUGCCGGACAUCUUCAGAUAUUGUCGGACAUUCUCGGACAUCCACGGACAUUGCCGGACAUCCCCACAUCUCCGGACAUCGUCGGACAUCUCCGGACACUCUCGGACAUUGCCGGACAUCCCCGGACACUCUCGGACAUCCUCGGACACUGCCGGACAUCCUCGGACACUGCCGGACAUCCCCGGGCGCUCCGGCCCAGCGCACUGCGCUCCCAUUGGCUGGCUCGGAGUCGCCAACGCCCCCGCGCUGACCAAUCAGCGCUCGCCGCGCCUCUCCCGCCCCUCCGGGGAGCGGCGGGGGCGGGGCCAGGGCGCGCGGGGGCGGGGCCGCGGCUCGCGGGCUCCUCUUAAACUCCGCGCAUCCCCCCACGCCUUCAUCUUCCUCUUCCUCCUCAUCAUUAUCGUAAUCAUCCAUCAUCCUCAUCCUCCUCACAGGCUCCAUCCCCGCCGUCCCCACAGCGGCGGUGUCCUGGGCAAGGUGCGGAUCGCGCGGCUUUGAAGAGAGCUCCAGUCUUGUGACCCACAGCGGUUCUUCUCCUGAAGAAAAUCCAGUUUUCUGUGCCACCACCCCCACCAAAAACCAUGGAGAAGUUUGUAUCAGAAAAGCCUGUUCCUGUCUCUAAGGUACUCACAGCUCUUUGGGGAGUACUUGUUUCUUAAUCAGGCUAAGCAAUGUUUCUUAUCAAGACAAUUAAUUUAUUUACCUAUAUAUAUGUGUGUGUAAAAAAUAUUGCCUCAAUUAUCUGGUUUGUUCCUUACUUGUUAUAUCUAAAGGCUGGCUUUCCAAAAUGUUGUUUCAGAAUCAUAAAAUGUGUUGAAAUAACUGAAGCAGAGCCCAGGAGAGCUCUGGAAAGUUCUGGAUUUCCCCACCCCAUUCAAGGGAUUAAUAAAUAAAAAUAAAUAAAAUAAACUGAAGGGAUU
Molecule: long non-coding RNA, 1957 nt
Organism: Junco hyemalis (dark-eyed junco)
Lineage: Eukaryota; Metazoa; Chordata; Aves; Passeriformes; Passerellidae
Source: Ensembl